This is a non-coding RNA of Equus caballus (horse), 3624 nucleotides long. NCBI's taxonomy places the organism in Eukaryota, Metazoa, Chordata, Mammalia, Perissodactyla, Equidae. The record is from RefSeq and is a predicted model, not a curated record.
UUUUCCCUUUCCCGCUCUCCCCCUCCCAUAGCUGGGGCCCACCGUCCCCUCCCCCUUUCCAAUCCCAGAAGAAGCCAUCGUGAUUGCCUUUUGGCAGAAGCUCUCUUGGGCAAGGUUGCAUUCUAAUUUUUGGACUGUGUUCACUAGGUUCUUUCACGUUGCGAGGAACAGAAACAGGCCCAGAUCCCCUGAAAUAAUGGGAAUUUAUUGCAAUAAUUCACGUGGAGUUAAGAAAGAUAGGGAUCUCGUAACCCAGCCCAGCUUCGUGGAAACACUGCGGCCUCCCUUCGGGGGCUGGAACACAGGCUCCCGGCGCCUCCCCCUUCUGUCUGGCUGACUCCUUUCCUUCCCCCGCGGACACGCAUCCCCCUCCCCCGCAGUGGCGGACUGCGCAAGAUGUCCCUCCGUUGUGGCCCUGGAAUUUUCUGCGCGUCUUUGGAUCCUAGCCCUGAUCCUGUUGCGUUGGUUUGCUUGGUGGCUUAGGUCCCCCUCUGCACCUUCAUUAUAUUUACAUCUUUGCUGACUCCUAACCCUUCGCUCUCUAGGACCCACCGGCCUCUUCUGGAAGGGCGCCGUAGUUCCCUGGUGGAAGGAUCGAGAAAGGGCACUUGCCGAGUCCAGCUCUCAGAGCAGAAUCCGCUGUGCCAAGUGACUCCCUCAGAGGAAAGCCACUAAUGAACUAAACUCAGUAGAGACUCACCCUGCACACGCCCCUGAACCCUCGUCUCCGUCCCACCUGAGUUCCCACCAGGAGAGUGAAUCUUUCUGCAAAGCGGCUUGAGGCCGACAGCCUUCAGCAGCAGAAGGGCUGCUGUGCCGUGCAGACCUGAAUGGGAAUUAGGACGCUUCAUGGUUCCCUAUGGUGACUCUGACUCAACUUGGGUAAUAUCAAGCAUCGUCCUAAUGGUCCCAAUCCCCUCAUUGUGACUGGAGCCCCCCACUCCCCAGUGAUGUGCCAGUGUGAAAACCCAGGGGCGCCACAAACGAAGCGCUGGUCUGCGAUACAGCCCCCUGCAUGGUCAGUCUGUGUCCCCAGAGCCGUUCCCACCAGCCGCAGGGCGGGGAGCCAGUGAGCUGGCUCUCCAGAAAGAAUAGGUCACGGAGCCCCAGAAGGACAGGACGUUUGUCUUUGUUGGAAUGCAUUGUCCUCAGCCUGUCUUCAGUCUUUCUUAGAGAUAGAGAUAAAGAUAGAGAUAACAAGUGUAUCAAAUCAGUACAUUGUACACCUUAAACUUUACGAUGCUACGUGUCCAUUAUAUCUCAAUAAAGCUGGAAAAAAGACGUAUAGAUUUAGACACACACACACUAACUGUUAACACUAUAUUAAUACUGAGAUUCUGCAAAAAACUGAAUAUAAAAAAGCAGAGGUGGCUCCUACUAAAAAAAAAUUUGAAACCACAGUUCCACAUGACUUUUUUUCUGCCUAUGGUACGUCUCCCCCUCCUGCCAUCCUGCCACCCCGCCCCUCCCCACUCCCACCUCUGCCCCUCUAACAUUAACACAGGUAAAAUACUUGCCUUGGGUGGCAGGAAACUCACAUUUAAGUGAACUAAGCAAUUAAGUGUAUUUAGUGAUUGGAGCCGUAACUGAUUUCAGGUGCAUCUUAAGUUUUUCAAUACAAGUAAUACAUGUUUAUUGUGGAAAUUUUAAAAACACAAGUAAGCAAGAAAAACAUUUAAAACAUUGAAGCACCCCAAUCUUGCCAUUCAGAAGUUACUACUAUUAAAAUUUUAAAUUCCAGUGGAUACUUGCACGUGUAUACGUGUACAUGUAUGGGGGACCAAUUGAGAAUGAUGAACUUGGGGUCCCCACAAGCUCAUCUGGGGCUGGAGAGAGCUGGGAGGUUGAUGCUGGAUGCACGGAGGCAUGGGGUCAGGCAGGCCUGUAGAAAUGAGGUCAGCAGGACCACUGGCAUGGCCUCUGGUCCCCAGCCUGCCCUUGAGCCACAGUUCAGCCCCAUGGAACAGCCCCUGUUCAUCUUCCUAGUUCUCUGCAGAAACCAGCAUGACCCCACGCAGCACAGGACCAAGGCAAGUGUUUGCAGUAAAGUGAGCAUGAGGCAGGCAUCUGGGGCAGACCUCUCAGAGGCACCCGCGGCAAGAGCGGGGCUGGGAUGGUCCUCACGCACCUCUGCAAGUGAUGGAAACCUAGAAGCCAGAGCGAGAAUUUGAGGGAUCCUGGUCCAAACGGGUGGGAAACACCCUCCAGUCCCUUCAGAGAUAGCUGGGGGAGAUUGAGGAGGAAGGUGCUACCAUUUCUCAAAUGACGGCCACCAGCCAAGGGAUUUUGAACAAUUACAAUUCAUGUGACUUCAUUUUUUUCCAAAAACUGGUGAAGCCUGGGAGAGCUAGUGUUUAUAUAUAUUUUUAAAUAUAAAAUUGGAUCAUACCGUAAUGUGAUUAGUAAACUGGGUUUUUUUUUGCUUAACAAGAUCUCAUGAAUAUUUUUUUCACGUAGGUCAAGAGAUCACAACAACAAUGUUUUUCUAACUGUUUUCUAUUGUUUUACCAAAUUCUAGAGACCAAUGAAGGCAUUUCAGGGCCCCUACAGAAGAGAGUAGAUUUUGCAGGUGGAAGGAGAAGAUUAUGAAUUCCUACCCCCAGUUCACCAAGAAUAGUCUACUUUUGGGGCCGGCCCAGUGGCAUAGUGGUUAAGUUCAUGUGCUCUGCUUCGGCCACCAGGGGUUCAUGGGUUUGGAUCCCAAGCACGAACCUACACACCACUCAUCAAGCUGUGCUGUGGCGGCGUCCCACAUACAAAAUAGAGGAAGAUUGGUAACAGACGUUAGCUCAGGGCCAGUCUUUCUUACCAAAAAAAGAGAAUAGUCUACUGUUAACAGUUCUAUAUAUUAGGAUUCUAUGAAAGACUGAAUAUUAAAAAGAGGAAGUGUCCACUGCUAGAAAUAAUUUGAAACCACAGUUCUGAGUGAUUUUUUUAAUGCUGUAAAGCAUUUCAUUGUGCAGAUAAAUGAUAAUGUAUUAAUCAAGCCUCUGUUUUUGGACAUUUAGGUUGCAUGUAAGUUAGGAGUUGUGUUCAAAUCCAAAUGUCACACUCCUGAGACACAAUCACUUAAACAAAUUAGGGUUUUCUUUUUCUCAUAUAAUGAAAAGUCUGGAAGGAGACAGUGCUGACAUCGGGUCAGUGGGUAAUGGAUCUCCAACAUCCCAUCAGAGUUCCAGGCAGGAUACAGGGGAAGAGGGGGCAGAGGUCAUAGGUCAGAAGGGGGCUGGUAACUGAGUUGAUUGCCCUCAUCAAGUUUUCCUGGAGAUGCCUCCCAGUGACCUGUGCUUACACCUCACUGUCCAUCCUUUUGCCCAGAGUCCAGAAAAGGUUUUUAGCUAAGCACGCUGCUCCCCGUCUCCCCGCCUCCCCACAAAACUGGGAUUCUGUUAGCGAGGAAGAUUAGAAAAACAGCUAAACCAUUGUCUGAAAAUCCUUUUCAUUGUAUCUUUAAAGCUACAUCACACCCUACUUUUUAACUUAAGGUCAAGUCAUAGAAAUGAAAUUAUUCCUUUGGCUGAGGAUCUUUCCAAGACUUCUCAAACAAGUUGCCUUUUAGAAACCUUGUACUAAUUGACCUUCCCACCAGCAGCGUCUAAUAAAAAAGUAUCUCCUUCACAUAAA